UUGCUAUUUGCUAUGAUCCAUAUAUCUUUUUUAACAACUUAACAUGGUGUACAUAUAUAUAUAUAUGGAGGUAAAAUUCCAACUCGAUCCAACUCUAAGCUAGCCAGCUAGUUUAUGAAUUACCACCUGCUAAGUAGGCCUAGCUAGAUAAUUACUUUAUUAAUCAAAAACUAAUAAUUGUUCCAAAUGGUUUCAACUUCAGAUAAGAAGCUCUCUGAAGUACUUGCUGCUUCUCCAAAGCUGCACGGUGAGUCUGUCAUCAUCAUCUUCAUCUUCAUCAUCAUGUUGUUGUUAGUAUGACUAUUAUUAUUAUUAUUAUUAUUAUUAUUAUUAUCCAUCUUUGUAAGAUGAUUUAAAACAGCAUCUAUUACCAUGUUAUCUUCACAACAAGUACUCCCAUUAAUAAGCUGAUCUCCAAAAGUAUUGGGUAUUGAUGAUGAAUUGGUGGUGGUGAAUUUGGAGGAAAUUAUGUUCAUCUGGUUAAUAGGGGGGUUGAAAAUGGAGAAGCAGGGCACUUGCUCAUAUAACGACGACUGAUGAUGAUGUGUUUGGUACUCAUUGUAUGGAGGAGGAGGAAGAAGAAGAGGAGGAUCAUCCAUUAAUGGAGGGAGAUUAUAAGUUGAUGAUGAGCUAAUAAUGCAUGUGUCCUGAUCGUACCCGUUAAUUCCACCUUGUUUGGAACCACCCGGACCAGUAUGAUGAUCAACUUCUUUGUUUUUGUAAAACACUCUACAUAUUACCCAAUCUUCCUGUUUAUAUUAAACACAACACAAUAACAACAAC
Molecule: long non-coding RNA, 783 nt
Filed under: Panax ginseng (ginseng)
Lineage: Eukaryota; Viridiplantae; Streptophyta; Magnoliopsida; Apiales; Araliaceae
Description: long non-coding RNA (PGIN_LNC017825)
Source: RNAcentral